UUCCCAAUUAGUAAGACCCCUUGAAGACGACGAGGUAGAUAGGUUGGAGGUGGAAGUGCAGCAAUGCAUGGAGCUGACCAAUACUAAUCGGUCGAGGGCUUAUCCUAAUAU
This 111-nucleotide ribosomal RNA is filed under the name Paenibacillus antarcticus. Its description in RNAcentral is "partial 23S ribosomal RNA". It matches the Rfam family "Bacterial large subunit ribosomal RNA", at positions 2811 to 2925 of the family's 2925-position model. The record is from RNAcentral. Lineage: Bacteria; Bacillati; Bacillota; Bacilli; Caryophanales; Paenibacillaceae.